AACGCGAAGAACCUUACCAGGCCUUGACAUGGGGAGUAUGGAUCGCAGAAACGCAAUCCUUCAGUUUGGCUGGCUCCCACACAGGUGCUGCAUGGCUGUCGUCAGCUCGUGUCGUGAGAUGUUGGGUUAAGUCCCGCAACGAGCGCAACCCUCAUCCUUAGUUGCCAUCAGGUCAAGCUGGGAACUCUAAGGAAACUGCCGGUGAUAAGCCGGAGGAAGGUGGGGAUGACGUCAAGUCUUCAUGGCCCUUACGGCCUGGGCCACACACGUGCUACAAUGGCGGUGACAAUGGGCAGCCAACCCGCAAGGGUGCGCUAAUCUCCAAAAACCGUCUCAGUUCGGAUUGCACUCUGCAACUCGAGUGCAUGAAGCUGGAAUCGCUAGUAAUCGUAGAUCAGCACGCUACGGUGAAUACGUUCCCGGGCCUUGUACACACCGAGACGUA
Molecule: ribosomal RNA, 445 nt
Filed under: uncultured bacterium
Lineage: Bacteria
Description: bacterial SSU rRNA
Rfam family: Bacterial small subunit ribosomal RNA
Source: RNAcentral